RNAcentral lists this ribosomal RNA (465 nucleotides) under uncultured Klebsiella sp. Its description in RNAcentral is "bacterial SSU rRNA". It matches the Rfam family "Bacterial small subunit ribosomal RNA", at positions 338 to 795 of the family's 1533-position model. The record is from RNAcentral. Lineage: Bacteria; Pseudomonadati; Pseudomonadota; Gammaproteobacteria; Enterobacterales; Enterobacteriaceae.
CCUACGGGUGGCUGCAGUGGGGAAUAUUGCACAAUGGGCGCAAGCCUGAUGCAGCCAUGCCGCGUGUGUGAAGAAGGCCUUCGGGUUGUAAAGCACUUUCAGCGGGGAGGAAGGCGGUGAGGUUAAUAACCUCAUCGAUUGACGUUACCCGCAGAAGAAGCACCGGCUAACUCCGUGCCAGCAGCCGCGGUAAUACAGAGGGUGCAAGCGUUAAUCGGAAUUACUGGGCGUAAAGCGCACGCAGGCGGUCUGUCAAGUCGGAUGUGAAAUCCCCGGGCUCAACCUGGGAACUGCAUUCGAAACUGGCAGGCUAGAGUCUUGUAGAGGGGGGUAGAAUUCCAGGUGUAGCGGUGAAAUGCGUAGAGAUCUGGAGGAAUACCGGUGGCGAAGGCGGCCCCCUGGACAAAGACUGACGCUCAGGUGCGAAAGCGUGGGGAGCAAACAGGAUUAGAUACCCGAGUAGUC